CAGAGAGCUCUGAGCCCUCAGGCACUACGGAGCAAGCUCGUGGUCGCCGGGAGGGGGUACUCCUGCCGGUGUUUACUGCCCCAGCCGGGGACACGCGGCGGCGCGAGCCCGCAUGACUGGUCCGCUCGUCCCAAGAGGAGGCAGAGCGAAGACUCGAGGCGGUGCCCGUUAGGGACGCGCUGCCCGGGGCUUAUGGGCUUUUUCUUGGGGACUGUACCCGCCGGGCUGGGGAGCGGAAAGGCUCGGGGAUUUUGCACACUGCAAGGAACUGUUGGGUUUAAACUAAAAAUACCCGCCCGCCCGCAGCUGUCACUCCAGGGCCCCCGCCCCCGGCGCGCCUCCCCAGGUCCCCUUGACUUUCGGCGACUCCGAUCCCCAGGGGACGUGCCAGGGCUGGGCGGGGGACUGAGGACCCGACCCUCCCAGCCCCCGGCCCGGCCACCCAGCCCCGGCACCCAGCCCCGAGCCACUUACCCGGCCGGGAGCGUGCGGGAGCGCGGCGCCGCGGGCAGUGCUGGCCGAGCCGCCCUCCUCCUCCCUGCGUCCCGGGCGGCUCCGGAGCGGGGCGGGGCCGGGGCGGGGCCCGGACACUCGCCCCCGCCCCGCCCAGUCCCCUCCGGACCCGCCGCGGGAGCCGCCCCGGGCCCCGCCACCUCGGCGGGUGGGAGAAGGACGAUCCUGGCUCUGCCCUCUUGGCAAAGGGCCGAGGAGCCCGGCCUCAGCCCGGUGGGCACCCCAUCGCGGACCCCCUCCCCCGGGGCAGGGGGGGAGCGCUGUCGUGGGGGCUCCGCACCCUCACCCCUGUCACCCCUGGCCCCGGGCCCACAACUGCCCUCUCCGCUCAGUAGCUUCCCCGAGCCUCGGCACCCCCCCCGCGCCUGCCUCGGCCCGGGUCUCAUCCUCGGGGAUGGCACGGAGCUGCCUCUCCUCAGGGGGAAGUUGGAUCUGGGGAGUUCCUCUGUGUGUCCCGCCUUGGGGAGGGGGCUAGGGGCCUGGAGGGUCUUGCCCUCUCAGAGCCCAAGUGGGGACAAAAGAAGGGGCACCCUUCCCGGAGGCGCGAAAUCCAAGGAGGAAGUGACACCUAUCAGCCAGCCUGAGAGUGGAGGCGCCCCAUCCGGCCCCUCCCACCCCACAGUCCCCGGAGCCACCACGCAAGGCAUCUUCAGGCCCCAGGCUCGGAUGGGAGAUCCCCAGGAUGCCAAGCGGAGGACAUGGGGGCGGAGGGUUAUAUUUUUACGCGGAGGCUCCCUGAACCCCACAUGUUACCAGCUCUGGCUUCAUGAAUGCGAUGAAUUCCUUAUGGGUCAAGGUUUUUGUUGAGAAAUUAAAGUACUCUGCAGAGAACAGCACCAGCCUUAGUAACAGGUGAGAUGUCUGUGUGUAACGUGGGUACUGAAAGAGGAAAAGGACUGGCCUGGAAGUCUGUCGUGUGUGUGUGUGUACCAGUGUGUGUGUGUAAACAGCAGGGCUCAGCCCCUUGCGUAUGCUGAUUGCCUGUGCAUGCAGUCAGGAAAACAUCAGAGGUGCAGCUUUAUAGGUACUGCGAAACACGCAGGGCUGGCUGAGCCCGAUUCGGAUCAUAACUGUGGUUUUGUCUUCUCCGAACCGCUCUGUACCGGGAAAGUCACAGCUUCGCUCCGCGGUUUCCUUGGUUGCUGAACACGUGUGAUGUGCGAUUACUCUUCUGUCAGGACGUGAUGGCUACUCAGCCUUCCAGCUUCAUUGCUUUGGCUUAAACUACAGCAGACUAGGAACUUGGCUUGUUUGUUUGAUUUUGUUUUGAAACCUAAAUGCAGCCUUGAUAACGUCAGUGUUGCCAGACUUGGUGGAGGAGGCGGGGCAGAGUGAAAAACUCCUGGGACGGAAAUCUGACCUCUGACGUGGUACCUCCCAGGAUCUGCAUUCGCCCCCCCUCCCCCGGCCGGGGGGGGGGGGGGGGGGGGGGGGGGGGGGGGGGGGGGGGGGGGGGGGGGGGGCGGCAUCUCCCCACCUGUGUCCCCACAUCUGGAAAAAAGGGGCCAGGUCAUGCCCUGACCUCCUGUAGGAGCUGUUGUGAGGAUCACAGAGAAUAAGGACCGACCACGAGAAUGUUCGGUGCACACGUGCGCUGUUAUGGGAAAUGCGAUCCUCCAGGGACCGUGCUUGCCAACGAAAGUGCAUGACGGAGACCCACUCAGGAAAAGGCUGUGGGUAAGGCAGAGGUCUCUGCUCAGGAGGAAGAGCAAUCUUUUCUUGUUUCUGCUCCCUGGAGGCAUGUUUUCGCAGUGUUCUCUCCUUGCUUUCGGUCGGCUCGGCUGUUCUCAACAUGUGAUAAUCUUAGAAGGGCAGCAUGAUAGGCAGUGCGCCCAGAAAGGCGAGGGGAAUGGGGAAGCCUCUGAUCCUCGCCAGCAGACACUCAGAGGCCAGGCUGAGUGAGGGCAGCGGGACCCAGAAGGGCUUUUCUUGUCCCCACCUCCCAUCACCAUGCACACUGCCCGCUGGACUCUGCUCAGGGGAAGCCCACUCUUGGGGUGCAAUUGGCCCCGCCCACUACUGGAGUGACAGCAGCUUGUGUCAAACAGGUCAGACCUGCUGCAGCGCCAGAUCUUUUAACCCGCUGCACCAGGUGGGGGGUCGAACCUGCACCUCCGCAGUGACCCGAGCUGCUGCAGUCUGAUUCUUAACCCACAGCACCACAGCAGGAACCCCUGAAACCUGUUGCUCGACAGUUCUUGAUGGCCCUGAGAUGUUUCCCCAGCAGAAAAGGCCAUGCGACUGCAGGAGCCUCUUUCCAUCAAACCUUAGAAUCUUGUUGCAAACAACUGGCACCAGACACAUGCUUUCCAAACAGACUGCCGCAAGCCUUGCACUGCAAGAGCCCUGGCACCUGGCCUGGAAUCAUAAAGAACUUUAAUCUUCAGUUUUUUCUUUGAUGCUGUUGAGUUAGAGUGCAGAGAAAAACCUCAAGUGCCACCAGAUGUGCCUCCUGGCUUUUCAAAAGCCAUACUCAACAGAUAUUAGCAGCCCCCAUAAAGAGGCAGCACGUACUUCCUGUGUCCUUGGGUAUUUAAAAGGUCCUUGCUGGCACUACGCCAGCGGGAUUAGGCUUCUGCAAUCAAGGCUGUUUCACCAUCCAGGCUGAAAUGUUUGAUUUUGUCACUGAUGAAUCUGGGCAAAGGACUGGACCCUGUGUACUCAGUUCACAGACUCUCAGGUGGCCUAAAACACAGGUGCACACACACACAUAGAGCAGCCAAAAGGAGUUCCCUUGUGGUGUAUCAGAUUAAGGAUCUGGUGGGAGUUUCUGUCGUGGUGCAGCAGAAAGAAAUCCGACUGGGAACCAUGAGGUUGCAGGUUCAAUCCCUGGCAUCGCUCAAGGGGUUAAGGAUCUGGUGUUGCCAUGAGCUGUGGUGUAGGUCGCAGAUGUGGCUCACAUCCUGAGUUGCUGUGGCUGUGGUGUAGGCUGGCAGCUAUAGCUCUGAUUAGACCCCUAGCCUGGGAACCUCCACAUGCCAUGGGCACGGCCCUAAAAAAGCAAAAAAAAAAAAACGGGGAUCUGGUAUUGUCACUGCAGCAGUCUGGGUAGCUGCUACAGCACAGGUUUGAUCUCUGGACUGGGCACAUCCACAUGCCACAAGCGUGGCAGAAAAAAAUUUAAAUUAAAUUGAAUUAAUUAACAGCAGAAGGCACUUUAUAAAUGCACUGGCCUGGCUCCUUCAUGUUCCAGAGAUGAUGAGAGGGUCAGAGAGCUGCCAAAGGUCAGGAAAUGCCCGGAUGGCUUCAGCCCACAGCCAGUUACCUCCACUGCCAAACCCAGGGGACACUUGGGCUCCUAACAGCCCCGCCGGGGCCCCUCUCCUGGAGGCGCUUGCUGGUCCCCCUGCCUCCUUUCCAGUCUUCAUGCCUGUCCUUCCUGAGCUGCAUUCGGGCCCCAGCUUCCUUGCUCCACCUGCCCAAGUCUCCUUGCUCAUCAGGCCCAGAUGUGCAGGAGCAAAGUCAUCUGGAGUCCUCCCCCGCAUGUUUCAGAUAUAACCUACGGAUUUAGACAGAUGCCCUUCAGACUCCUCAGACUCAGAAUGACUGCAAGGAAUAGGUGACUGGCCCCUUCAAUCCUCCUGCCUCGCCUGUGGUCUCGGGCUCAGCAAGCAUGUGCCCCAGCCGCUAAGCCAGAAACGGAGGGGGAGCCUGAGUCCCGCCCUCUUCUCCCAGGUCCCCUCCCCACAUGGGCCGGUCACCUGAUGCUGUCCGUCCUACCCUCAAAGUAUCAAAUGUGCAUGCCCUUUGCAUUGGUGCCCUUCACUCACGGGACACAGGCCAGAGCCCUGGUGUGGCAUUUGACACGGUCUCCUGGCUGGCCUCCCCCUCCCCCGCCCCCAUCAGUGCCACCUCCAAUUCAUCAACGUGCCUACCAGGCCCAACGCUCAGGAACUCUGCAGCUUCUGGGGACCUUCUCUCAUGCUGAGGAUGAAAUCCUACGGCCCUCGGCUGCAUUCACUUGUCCGUGUUUCUAUUAGACAAACACCCUGGGAGUUCCUGACAUGGCUCAGCAGAAACAAAUCCAACUAGCAUCCAUGAGGACACAAGUUCGAUCCCUGGCCUCGCUCAGUGGGCUAAAGAUCCGGCCAUGCCAUGAGCUGUGGUGUAGGUCCCAGACACAGCUCUGAUCCUAUGUUGCUGUGGCUGUGGUAAAGGCCAGCAGCUACAGCUCCGAUUUCACCCCUAGCCCGGGAACCUCCAUAUGCCAUGGGUGUGGCCAUUUAAAGAAAAAAAAGGAAAGAAAAAGAAAAACACUCCGUCUCACCCCCUCCCCCCGCCCCAGGAUGCCUGGGCCUUUGUGCCUCUGCAGUGUUGUUUCCUCUCCCUGGAAUGUCCUUCCCUUUUAUUUAUUUAUUUAUUUUUCUUUUUAAAAAUUAAAAAAAAUUUUUUGGUUUUUAGGGCUGCACCCACGGCAUAUGGAGAUUCCCAGGCUAGGGGUGAAAUUGGAGCUGUAGCCACCAGCCUUCGCCACAACCACAG
This 4995-nucleotide long non-coding RNA is filed under the name Sus scrofa (pig). RNAcentral describes it as "lncRNA (ENSSSCG00040065577.1)". Lineage: Eukaryota; Metazoa; Chordata; Mammalia; Artiodactyla; Suidae. The record is from RNAcentral.